AGAUAUUUUGUAGUUUGAGUCCCACACCAGGGCGUACCAUUUGCCGUGCUACCAAUUUUUCCUCAAACGGUUGGAUUAGCAUUAACACCUAUCACCUAAGGAAAGUUGUCGGCUCCAAUAAAAUAGAUACUUGAUAAACUGUGAAUGGAUCUAUUGCCUAUAAAUGAGAAAUCCAGUUUUCAGAGCAAAUUAACUUAUAAUCUUCAGAUG
Nilaparvata lugens (brown planthopper) is the source of this 210-nucleotide long non-coding RNA. RefSeq lists it as uncharacterized. The record is from RefSeq and is a predicted model, not a curated record. Lineage: Eukaryota; Metazoa; Arthropoda; Insecta; Hemiptera; Delphacidae. The transcript is spliced from 3 exons.